Molecule: long non-coding RNA, 292 nt
Filed under: Gossypium barbadense (sea-island cotton)
Lineage: Eukaryota; Viridiplantae; Streptophyta; Magnoliopsida; Malvales; Malvaceae
Description: long non-coding RNA (GBAR_LNC010638)
Source: RNAcentral
ACAUUCCUAAUUGAGCUUUUCUUCAUGGAUGUAGAAUUAAAUACUUAGGCUCAAAAACAAAGAAAUAUUACUAAUAUGUAUGUAUUUUUUUUAGAAACAAGUCAAGUAACAUAUUCAAAUCAAAUCUCGACAAAAAUAGGGAUUAAAUUAAUUUAGGAGAUUUCAAAAAUAAUGGGUUAUGGGUUAAUAUUGAGGGUAAAUCAAUGAAUGGCUUGUUAAGCUCUAAGGGGUUCACUAAGGGUUAAUUAUGGAGGUAGGCUUUUAUGGAGUGAGUGGGUUAAACCUAGGUGCC